This 498-nucleotide long non-coding RNA is filed under the name Elaeis guineensis (African oil palm). Its description in RNAcentral is "long non-coding RNA (EGUI_LNC043839)". Lineage: Eukaryota; Viridiplantae; Streptophyta; Magnoliopsida; Arecales; Arecaceae. The record is from RNAcentral.
AUGGCUUGUUGCUCUUCAGAGAUACUCUCUUUGAACUUAACUUUUCUCUCACUGCUUCAUCUUGAUUAAAUAAUUUUUUAAGAAGAUAGCAUGUCGGGUCAUAAUCAUAUUGUGAUCCUAUCAGAAAGUAGUAUUCCAAACUCUUUUAGGAUGAGUUUUAUAGAUCUAUCCUCUAACAUAUCCACCUGCUGUCCUUGACACAGGCUAGACAUCCUUGGAUCUUGAAAUAAUUAAGAUUCAGUUCUCACCAUGCCAUAUCUCAUAUGGUAUGGUAGGAACAGGUUUAAACAAAACCCAAUUUCAUAGAAACAAAGCAUGUCCCUAAAGAAACAAAAUAAAUCAGUGAAUUCCAUAAUGGACCGGACCAUAUCCCAUAUAGUCCCAUAACUCUUCUUAUCUUGUUGAGUUGAGAUGUACUAAGAGAGGUCCAAUAUGAAAAUAUAUCAUUUUAUGAGAUAAUCAAAAAAAAAAUUUCUUUGAUAUUGCAUCUUCGAUCCG